Molecule: ribosomal RNA, 497 nt
Filed under: uncultured bacterium
Lineage: Bacteria
Description: partial 16S ribosomal RNA
Rfam family: Bacterial small subunit ribosomal RNA
Source: RNAcentral
GAUGAACGCUGGCGGCGUGCCUAAUACAUGCAAGUCGAGCGAACAGACGAGGAGCUUGCUCCUCUGACGUUAGCGGCGGGAGGGUGAGUAACACGUGUAUACCCUACCUAUAAGACUGGGAUAACAUCGGGAAACCGGAGCUAAUACCGGGUAAUAUAUUAAAACGCAUGGUUCAAUAGUGAAACACGGUUUUGAUGACACUUAUAGAUGGAUCCGCGCCGCACUAGCUAGUUGGUAAGGUAACGGCCUACCAAGGCAACGAUGCGUAGCUGACCUGGGCGGGGGACAGGCCACGCUGGAAGUGAGACACGGUCCACACUCCUACGGGGGGACGCAGCAGGGAAUUUUCGGCAAUGGGAGAAGGCCUGACGGAGCAACGCCGGGUGAGUGGUGAGGGUCUUCGGAUCGGAAGAUUCUAUUAUUAGGGAAGAACAACUGUGUAAGCAACAAUGCACGCCUUGACGGUACCUGAGCAGAAAGCCACGGCUAACUACGUG